AAGGUUUCCGUAGGUGAACCUGCGGAAGGAUCAUUAUAGAAUAAACUUGAACGGGCUGUUGCUCUCCUAUGGUGCACGCCUGUCAUAUUUAUCUCUCCAACUGUGCACACUUUGUAGANCUGGUGUUUUGGGAAUUGCUUACAGUAGUUGGCUUUGCCCUUUGCUUCUCGCCAGUCUAUGUUAUUUUAUCACAACCUCUGAAUGUUUUGAACUUUAUGAUGGAAAUUAUAUACAACUUUCAGCAACGGAUCUCUUGGCUCUCGCAUCGAUGAAGAACGCAGCGAAAUGCGAUAAGUAAUGUGAAUUGCAGAAUUCAGUGAAUCAUCGAAUCUUUGAACGCAUCUUGCGCUUCUUGGUAUUCCAAGGAGCAUGCCUGUUUGAGUGUCAUUAAAGUUCUCAAAACUACAUGUUUGUUCAUGUGGAAUUUUGGAUAUGGGGGUUGCAGGCUUUUCAAGUCGGCUCCUCUGAAAUGUAUCAGUGGUAUCUGUGUGGAACUACAGGUGUGAUAAAUAAAAUCUAUNCCUUGUCUCUCACUGUGCUGCUUCUAACGGAUUGGAUUGACAAAUUUGACCUCAAAUCAGGUAGGACUACCCGCUGAACUUAAGCAUAUCAAUAAGCGGAGGAAAAGAAACUAACAAGGAUUCCCCUAGUAACUGCGAGUGAAGCGGGAAAAGCUCAAAUUUGAAAUCUGACGGUUCUU
This 700-nucleotide ribosomal RNA is filed under the name uncultured Inocybe. Its description in RNAcentral is "eukaryotic LSU rRNA". The stretch from base 234 to 387 matches the Rfam family "5.8S ribosomal RNA". The record is from RNAcentral. Lineage: Eukaryota; Fungi; Basidiomycota; Agaricomycetes; Agaricales; Cortinariaceae.